AAGGAAUUCCUAGUAAGCGCGAGUCAUCAGCUCGCGUUGACUACGUCCCUGCCCUUUCUACACACCGCCCGUCGCUCCUACCGAUUGAAUGGUCCGGUGAAGUGUUCGAAUCACGAAUUAUGACUAAACGCCUCUAAGUCAGAAUUCGGGCUAGAAGCGACGCAUGCGCCCGUCGCCCGAUUGCCGACCCUCAGUAGGGGCCUCUGGCCCCCAAGGGUACGUGUCGUAGGUGUAGCGACCGUGACGGACAAGUCCUGGGUGCCUCCUUGGAGCGUAAUUCCCACCGAGCAGUGGGUAGAAUCCUUUGUAGACGACUUAAAGACGCGACGGGGUAUUGUAAGUGGCAGAGUGGCCUUGCUGCCAUGAUCCCCUGAGAUUCAGCCCUUUGUCGCUUCGAUUC
This 400-nucleotide non-coding RNA is filed under the name Gossypium hirsutum (cotton). RNAcentral's name for it is "Eukaryotic large subunit ribosomal RNA". It matches the Rfam family "Eukaryotic large subunit ribosomal RNA", at positions 3038 to 3399 of the family's 3401-position model. Lineage: Eukaryota; Viridiplantae; Streptophyta; Magnoliopsida; Malvales; Malvaceae. The record is from Rfam by way of RNAcentral.